GGUUGUGGCUGAGUGGUAAAGUGCUCACCUAGCAUGCAUGAGGUACUGGGUUCAAUUUUCAUCACCA
RNAcentral lists this transfer RNA (67 nucleotides) under Marmota monax (woodchuck). RNAcentral's name for it is "tRNA.Ala". The record is from RNAcentral. Lineage: Eukaryota; Metazoa; Chordata; Mammalia; Rodentia; Sciuridae.